AUUGAACGCUGGCGGCAUGCUUUACACAUGCAAGUCGAACGGCAGCGCGGGCUUCGGCCUGGCGGCGAGUGGCGAACGGGUGAGUAAUGCAUCGGAACGUGCCCAGUAGUGGGGGAUAGCCCGUCGAAAGCCGGAUUAAUACCGCAUACUACCUGAGGGUGCAAGCGGGGGACCGAAAGGCCUCGCGCUCUUGGAGCGGCCGAUGUCGGAUUAGCUAGUUGGUGGGGUAAAGGCUUACCAAGGCGACGAUCCGUAGCUGGUCUGAGAGGACGACCAGCCACACUGGGACUGAGACACGGCCCAGACUCCUACGGGAGGCAGCAGUGGGGAAUGUUGGACAAUGGGGGCAACCCUGAUCCAGCCAUGCCGCGUGCGGGAAGAAGGCCUUCGGGUUGUAAACCGCUUUUGUUCGGGAAGAAAUCCUCUGGGCUAAUACCCCGGGGGGAUGACGGUACCGGAAGAAUAAGCACCGGCUAACUACGUG
This 484-nucleotide ribosomal RNA is filed under the name uncultured bacterium. RNAcentral's name for it is "partial 16S ribosomal RNA". It matches the Rfam family "Bacterial small subunit ribosomal RNA", at positions 28 to 507 of the family's 1533-position model. The record is from RNAcentral.